UGUAGCAAAAAAUCUAAACGGUCAACCCCCUACAAAAUUAUGAUGAGGAGAUUGCCAAAUGUUGUCCCCAUUGUGCCUAUAAAGAUUGGAACCAACGGAAUGUUGAGCAAAAAGCUACAGCCUGUGAUGUUACAGUCAUUUAACAUUGAAGUCAAUGGGCAAAUAAUUGCUAGUCUGAGUCCUGAUGAUAUAAAGAAGCAUGGCCGACUCGGGAUGUUGAUAUUUUUUCAACGGCUUAUUUCCUGAAGUUUUGAAUGGAAAGUGUCAGAAAUGGUGCCAGGGCAAUGUUUCAUAGAGUGGAAUGAUUGACCUCAACACAAGUAUUAAAAAAAAAAGAAGCAAAACAGGUCUACAUCUCAAAACCUGAUCUCUUCCUGGACUGGCUUUAGGAGAACGAUGAUGCAUAUCAAUUUCAUCCCUGAUCUCUAUGACACCUGUGGUGGAAGUGGAGGGCAAACUGUAAUCAGUUUGGGUUCCAGCCCCGAGGACCUCUGUAAACUUUGCUUUUUGGUGAUGACUUAAUUUCCGAGCUUGAAAAGGACGCUUGUGUGUUUAUCAUGGCCUCUCAUAUUGGAAGAUAACAUUAAUGGCUUGUGUGUUGAUCGACGGUUGUGCAUAUCUCUUGGUCAGGAAAGUUGUAGGCACCAUCGCCAUUGUAAAUCAUUUGACAGACCCGAGUGAACGGGGCGACCUAUGAUUGGUCAGCAAUGUAUCAGAUUCCAUACCGGGGGGUGGGGAUGAAAAAACUGUUGUAGUGUUACAUAAUCAGAUUAUUUCAACUUACUUAUCCUGUGGAAAUACAGCUAUAUAGGAGAUAUUUUGAAAUUCAUAGGCACUGCAUGUUUCAACAUUUUAGAUUUGACCACAAUUUGGCACUUGAAACUAUGUUAACAGAGAAAAACUGUGUGGUUUUCGAUGAAAGUGUUAAAAGUCUAAUAUUGCAUCAUGAUUACUGUUUUAAAGUAUUUUCGUGUUUGAUUUAUAUUGAAUUCAUCUCAUCUUUUUGAAGAAUGCAUUUAUGUUCAAAAAUAAAAAUGUUCUGUGGAAUUCAAAAUUCAUGUGUUUUUAAAUUAUCAGAUUCCAAACUAGGGGGUGGGGAUGAAAAAGCUGUUGUAGUGUUACAUAAUCAGAUUAUUUCAACUUACUUAUCCUAUGGAAAUACAGCUAUAUAGGAGAUAUUUUAAAAUUGAUAGGCACUGCAUGUUUCAACAUUUUAGAUUUCACCACAAUUUGGCACUUGAAACUACGUUAACAGAGAAAACUGUGUGGUUUUCGAUGAAAGUGUUAAAAAGUCUAAUAUUGCAUCAUGAUUACUGUUUUAAAGUAUUUUCGUGUUUGAUUUAUAUUGAAUUUAUCUCAUCUUUUUACAGAAUGCAUUUAUGUUCAAAAAUAAAAAUGUUCUGUUUAAUUCAAAAUUCAUGUGCUUUUAAAUUUCUGUCUGAAAUUCCGCAGUUUUCUGAUGUAUUAUAGUGUUUGCAGAAUGCCGCACAGCUCAUCUGAAAAUGCAUAGAUUUUCAUAUUCUUUGGCCAGGGAAUUGCAUAUAUGUUUGUUUAUUAGAUAACAACAGAUUUGUUUAAACUGCAGAAACAUGUGAGGUAUAUAGGACUAAGACUAGUAAUUAUUUCCCCUUAUUUCAUGAUGGACGAAUGUAGUGCGAGUUAUAAAUAGAGAAUUUUUCCCUUAAUUUUUUUCUCCCCUCUUCCUGCAUUUUUGGGUUGACUUUUUGGUCUAGAAUUGGAGAAAAGGGAUCAAAUUUGCAAUUUCAUAGCAGUUUUGGGUAAUACUGAUGAUAUUACAGCGGCGGGGUAGGGGGUGUAAAGUGUCUUUCUGCAGAGCAAUCAUUGUGUCGGAAGUGAGAUUUUCACCCCUCUCAACUUCAAAUCCGUGUAGCAAAAAAUCUAAACGGUCAACCCCCUACAAAAUUAUGAUGAGGAGAUUGCCAAAUGUUGUCCCCAUUGUGCCUAUAAAGAUUGGAACCAACGGAAUGUUGAGCAAAAAGCUACAGCCUGUGAUGUUACAGUCAUUUAACAUUGAAGUCAAUGGGCAAAUAAUUGCUAGUCUGAGU
Molecule: long non-coding RNA, 2066 nt
Organism: Patella vulgata (common limpet)
Lineage: Eukaryota; Metazoa; Mollusca; Gastropoda; Patellidae
Exons: 3
Source: RefSeq, a predicted model, not a curated record